CAGCGCCAAACCCUAGCCCUCUCUCCCAUCUACGCCGCCGCCACCUACCUCCCUCCAUCCUCUUCUCUGUGAGCAACAAAACAGGGGAAAACCCCACUGCCACGACCGUCCUCUCCAUGGCGCCGCUGCUCCAGGGCUCCCCUUGCCACUCCGAGACCACCCACAGAACCGCCUCGGCGUCCUCUAUAUCGUCCCCAAAGGAAUCGAGCCGGGGUGCUCUUAAUCGUCUCCAAUUCGCCGAUUCCCUCUCUGAACUCCGGCGAGACAACCUUCAAUUCCGGCCACUCCGGCGACCCCCUGGACUCCGCGCCGCCACCAUUGGCCUCCCAAUGUUCAGCCGCAUCCCCGACGCCAGUUUCCCCGUCCUCGUUCGCCCUGAAUCGACGGAUUGAUGUCGGACCUGAUCUCCCUCCCGCCAUGGCUGCAGCCCUCCAAGCUCGUCCCAGUAUUUGUUGGGUCAAGUUGCUGCACGCCUUUCCCUUGACAUGAUCUGAACUGCAGCGCAGUGAUACGUUGAUGGGCUUCAAACCCAGAUCCAUCUGGCCUUCUUCUCUCCGGUGCGGAUCAGAUCCAGCCCACCAGCACCCUGUCGCUCGCGCGGCCCGAAGCCAACCAUCGCUGCUGCAUUUGCUUCUUCCCGGAUAGGAUCACGAAGUGGUGAUGUGAG
Lolium rigidum is the source of this 667-nucleotide long non-coding RNA. RefSeq lists it as uncharacterized. The transcript is spliced from 3 exons. The record is from RefSeq and is a predicted model, not a curated record. NCBI's taxonomy places the organism in Eukaryota, Viridiplantae, Streptophyta, Magnoliopsida, Poales, Poaceae.